RNAcentral lists this ribosomal RNA (435 nucleotides) under Arenivaga floridensis. RNAcentral describes it as "partial 16S ribosomal RNA". The record is from RNAcentral. Lineage: Eukaryota; Metazoa; Arthropoda; Insecta; Blattodea; Corydiidae.
UUUUUUUAGUUAUGAUUAAAAAUAUAACCUGCCCACUGAAAAUAUUUAAAGGGCCGCGGUAUUUUGACCGUGCAAAGGUAGCAUAAUCAUUAGUUUUUUAAUUGGGAACUGGUAUGAAUGGUUGGACGAAAUAUAUACUGUCUUUUUUUGAUUAUUUAGGAAUUUAAUUUUUAGAUAAAAAAGUCUAAAUUUUUUCAUGGGACGAGAAGACCCUAUAGAGUUUUAUAAUUUAUUUAAUUUGGUUUUAUGAAGGGAGUAAUUAAUAAUUAUAUAAAUUAUUUGGUUGGGGUGACAGUAAGAUUAAAUUAACUCUUAUUAAUUAGUUAUAUUUAUUUAUAAAUUUAUGAUCCAUUAUUAUUGAUUAUAAGAUAAAAUUACCUUAGGGAUAACAGCGUAAUUUUUUUGGAAAGUUCAUAUUGAUAAAGAAGAUUGCGA